AACGAACGCUGGCGGCGUGCCUAACACAUGCAAGUCGAACGAGAAAGGGGCUUCGGCUCCGAGUAAAGUGGCGCACGGGUGAGUAACACGUAGGUAACCUGCCUCUAAGAUUGGGAUAACUCGUCGAAAGAUGAGCUAAUACCGAAUAAGACCACAGUUCCCGCGGGAACAGGGGUCAAAGGUAGCCUCUGCUUGCAAGCUAUCACUUAGAGAUGGGCCUGCGCACCAUUAGCUAGUUGGUAGGGUAACGGCCUACCAAGGCAAAGAUGGUUAGCUGGUCUGAGAGGAUGAUCAGCCACACUGGAACUGAGACACGGUCCAGACUCCUACGGGAGGCAGCAGUGGGGAAUAUUGCGCAAUGGGCGAAAGCUUGACGCAGCAACGCCGCGUGAGUGAUGAAGGCCUUCGGGUCGUAAAGCUCUGUCGGGAGGAACGAAUGCUCCUGAGGUUAACAGCCUCGGGAGGUGACGGUACCUUCAAAGGAAGCACCGGCUAACUCUGUG
This 503-nucleotide ribosomal RNA is filed under the name uncultured bacterium. Its description in RNAcentral is "partial 16S ribosomal RNA". It matches the Rfam family "Bacterial small subunit ribosomal RNA", at positions 29 to 507 of the family's 1533-position model. The record is from RNAcentral.